This 1138-nucleotide ribosomal RNA is filed under the name uncultured bacterium. RNAcentral describes it as "bacterial SSU rRNA". It matches the Rfam family "Bacterial small subunit ribosomal RNA", at positions 353 to 1482 of the family's 1533-position model. The record is from RNAcentral.
AGCUAAGAAUAUUCCGCAAUGGACGGAAGUCUGACGGAGCGACGCCGCGUGGAUGAAGAAGCGCCGAAAGGUUGUAAAGUUCUUUUGCUAGGGGAGAAUAAGUGUGGGAGGGAAUGCCUGCACGAUGACAAGGACUAGCGAAUAAGUCCCGGCCAACUACGUGCCAGCAGCCGCGGUAACACGUAGGGGGCGAGCGUUGUUCGGAAUUACUGGGCGUAAAGGGCAUGUAGGCGGCUUGGUAAGCCUGGCGUGAAAGUCUGCAGCUUAACUGUAGGGAUGCGUUGGGAACUGCUUAGCUUGAGUUACGGAGAGGGAGCUGGAAUUCCUGGUGUAGGGGUGAAAUCUGUAGAUAUCAGGAAGAACACCGAUGGCGAAGGCAAGCUUCUGGCCGACAACUGACGCUGAGGUGCGAAAGUGUGGGGAUCAAACAGGAUUAGAUACCCUGGUAGUCCACACAGUAAACGAUGUGCACGAGGUGCUGGGGCGGUAGUUUCAGUGCCGGAGCGAACGCGGUAAGUGCACCGCCUGGGGAGUAUGCUCGCAAGGGUGAAACUCAAAGGAAUUGACGGGGGCCCGCACAAGCGGUGGAGCAUGUGGUUUAAUUCGAUGGUACACGAGGAACCUUACCUGGGUUUGACAUACGGAGGGAAGUGGCAGAGAUGUCACUGCGUAGAGAUACGGCUCCGUACAGGUGCCGCAUGGCUGUCGUCAGCUCGUGCCGUGAGGUGUUGGGUUAAGUCCCGCAACGAGCGCAACCCCUACUGUCAGUUACUAACAGGUUAAGCUGAGGACUCUGGCGGAACUGCCGGUGACAAACCGGAGGAAGGUGGGGAUGACGUCAAGUCAUCAUGGCCCUUAUGUCCAGGGCUACACACGUGCUACAAUGGGCGAGACAGAGUGAAGCGAAGCCGAGAGGUGGAGCAAAUCGCAGAAAAUCGCUCUCAGUUCGGAUUGGAGUCUGAAACUCGACUCCAUGAAGGUGGAAUCGCUAGUAAUCGCGCAUCAGCAUGGCGCGGUGAAUACGUUCCCGGGCCUUGUACACACCGCCCGUCACACCAUCCGAGUGGGGGGUACCCGAAGCCGUUAGUCCAACCAGAAAUGGGGGGCGACGUCGAAGGUACGUCUUGUGAGGAGGGUG